Molecule: ribosomal RNA, 314 nt
Filed under: uncultured bacterium
Lineage: Bacteria
Description: bacterial SSU rRNA
Rfam family: Bacterial small subunit ribosomal RNA
Source: RNAcentral
UUGUCCGGAUUUAUUGGGCGUAAAGCGAGCGCAGGCGGUUUGAUAAGUCUGAAGUUAAAGGCUGUGGCUCAACCAUAGUUCGCUUUGGAAACUGUCAAACUUGAGUGCAGAAGGGGAGAGUGGAAUUCCAUGUGUAGCGGUGAAAUGCGUAGAUAUAUGGAGGAACACCGGUGGCGAAAGCGGCUCUCUGGUCUGUAACUGACGCUGAGGCUCGAAAGCGUGGGGAGCGAACAGGAUUAGAUACCCUGGUAGUCCACGCCGUAAACGAUGAGUGCUAGGUGUUGGAUCCUUUCCGGGAUUCAGUGCCGCAGCUA